GACGAACGCUGGCGGCGUGCUUAACACAUGCAAGUCGAACGGAAAGGCCCUGCUUUUGUGGGGUGCUCGAGUGGCGAACGGGUGAGUAACACGUGAGUAACCUGCCCUUGACUUUGGGAUAACUUCAGGAAACUGGGGCUAAUACCGGAUAGGAGCUCCUGCUGCAUGGUGGGGGUUGGAAAGUUUCGGCGGUUGGGGAUGGACUCGCGGCUUAUCAGCUUGUUGGUGGGGUAGUGGCUUACCAAGGCUUUGGCGGGUAGCCGGCCUGAGAGGGUGACCGGCCACAUUGGGACUGAGGUACGGCCCAGACGGCUACGGGAGGCAGAAGGGGGGAAUAUUGCACAAGGGGCGGAGGCCUGAUGAAGCAACGCCGCGUGCUGGAUGACGGCCUUCGUGUUGUAAACCGCUUUCGCCUGAGACGAAGCGUGAGUGACGGUAAUGGGUAAAGAAGCACCGGCUAACUACGUG
This 468-nucleotide ribosomal RNA is filed under the name uncultured bacterium. RNAcentral describes it as "partial 16S ribosomal RNA". It matches the Rfam family "Bacterial small subunit ribosomal RNA", at positions 28 to 507 of the family's 1533-position model. The record is from RNAcentral.